AUUGAACGCUGGCGGCAUGCCUUACACAUGCAAGUCGAACGGCAGCACGGGAGCAAUCCUGGUGGCGAGUGGCGAACGGGUGAGUAAUAUAUCGGAACGUGCCCAGUCGUGGGGGAUAACGCAGCGAAAGUUGUGCUAAUACCGCAUACGAUCUAUGGAUGAAAGCGGGGGAUCGCAAGACCUCGCGCGAUUGGAGCGGCCGAUAUCAGAUUAGGUUGUUGGUGAGGUAAAAGCUCACCAAGCCUGCGAUCUGUAGCUGGUCUGAGAGGACGACCAGCCACACUGGAACUGAGACACGGUCCAGACUCCUACGGGAGGCAGCAGUGGGGAAUUUUGGACAAUGGACGAAAGUCUGAUCCAGCAAUGCCGCGUGCAGGACGAAGGCCUCGGUUGUAACUAGC
This 401-nucleotide ribosomal RNA is filed under the name uncultured bacterium. Its description in RNAcentral is "bacterial SSU rRNA". It matches the Rfam family "Bacterial small subunit ribosomal RNA", at positions 30 to 433 of the family's 1533-position model. The record is from RNAcentral.